RNAcentral lists this unclassified non-coding RNA (334 nucleotides) under soil metagenome. RNAcentral describes it as "partial contains 5.8S ribosomal RNA, internal transcribed spacer 2, and large subunit ribosomal RNA". The stretch from base 1 to 120 matches the Rfam family "5.8S ribosomal RNA", at positions 35 to 154 of the family's 154-position model. The record is from RNAcentral.
GAUGAAGAACGCAGUGAAAUGCGAUACGUAAUGUGAAUUGCAGAAUUCAGUGAAUCAUCGAAUCUUUGAACGCACAUUGCGCCUGCCAGCACUCUGGCAGGCAUGCCUGUUCGAGCAUCAUUUCAACCAUCAAGCCCUAGGCUUGCGUUGGAGCCCUGCGGCUGCCGCAGGCCCCUAAAAGCAGUGGCGGGCUCGCUAUCACACCGAGUGCAGUAGAUUACUCUUCGCUCAGGGCGUGUGGCGGGUUCCAGCCGUGAAACCCCCUACUUCUCAAGGUUGACCUCGGAUCAGGUAGGAAUACCCGCUGAACUUAAGCAUAUCAAUAAGCGGAGGA